GGCGGCCCCCGCGGCGCCCCACCCCACCACCACCAGACCCUCGCCUCUCUCCCACCCCCACCCCACGCACCACCAGCCUCCCAUGCCCCACCUUCUAAUCCCACGCACCACCGACACAUAGGGCCAUGGCCACCCCCCGAUCUCCCACCUUCUUCCCCGCCCGGGGCCCCAGACCCCUACCUUCUUCCUCGCCGGAGCCCCACAACCCACCACCUUCUCCAUGGCCUCCUCCCCCACCGGUGGCCGCGCUCGUCAGGCCCGACCUCGUCGGAACCCCGCGGCGAGCCCCUACCCCGACGGGGGCCUAUCCUCCUCCAGUGGCUCGGACCACCAUGGCUCCGCCACAAAUCUGAAACAAGACUCCGGCGGGGGACUGCCCCCCGCGCUGGCCAGGGUCGUCCUCUCUGUCCAUGGCCAGACGAAGACUAGUCGUGCGCCCCUUCACCGCCAUCGACGCGACUUGGUCAACAGCCAAAGCCAUGGCCACCAAGCGCGUCCGCAACAGCAACAUAAUUGAAGUGCGCCGGGGCACGCGAUGCGGUUCGGUGACGCGUGGUCGUGUAGUUCGCGGCCACCACAGGCCCCCUCACCUCUACCUCCAUGGCCACGUCCUCAACUAGCGGCGCCCUGCCCUCGUCGCCGGCCAUGGCGCCGCAGCCACCAGGCUCGAGCGUCUGCUCUUCUCCCUUGACCCUUUGCUAGCCGGCGUCACCCCGGGCCGAUCCAGGCAGUUGGGCGGGGGUGUGGAUGUGCAGGGUAGUGCUCCCCGAGGUGCAGUGCGGCGUGCGUGCGUGCAGUCCAAAAAUCGGAGGCGUGCAGUGUAGUAGAGCACCAGAUGGCAGUGGCCAACAGCCCCUCGAUCCCGUCUCUCUGCCGACGGCAACUACUCACAUGGCGCUGCUCCUUGGACCCGCUCCAUCACCGGCAUCCCGCCGAUACGACGAGCAGCAAUGGAGGACCCCUGCAGAUCCCGUGCUCCUCGUCAACGGCAGCCGCCACCUGUUGUCUAGAUGAAGAAGAAGCGGUUUGCAGUCCACGCGAUGCCGGCGUGCAGUCUGUGUGUGCAGCUCCCAGCCCAACGACGGCCUGAUCCUCUCCAUUUUUGGAGUUAAUUUAUUUCCCCCAAUGUCACCUCACUCCUUGUAGAAAGCAACAAGUUUUAUCAAACUUGGUGAGGUCCCAGCCACCCACGGCAUGCAAUACGGAUAGUGACGACGUGCAGUUUGCUGUGCGAAUGCUGUCCAGGAUUUGCCAUUGGAGAUUGUCUAAAUCCUAGUGGUGGUGUUCCUUCCCGCCGGUGGUGGUGCUACUGCGAGCUGGAGUGGAGCUCUACCCUGACGCGUGGCGCUACAGUCCCUCUUGGUUGUCCCUCACCGCUAUACUCCUCUCUCAAGUAGAGAGCAUCAGUUCGAUUUGUAAUGCAUGCGUCUAGUUCCAGCGGCCGAGGUAGAAGCAGUUUAGUGGCAGCGUGCUUGCAGUUUGGUGCAUGUUGUCUUACAUUUCGGUUGCAAAAAAAUGAUGCAUAUAAGAUGCGUCCAGUUGCGGUUUAGUUGCUGCGCUGAUGUAGUUUUGCUAGGGUACGAGGUGGUGCUUCGUUGUGCAGUGGAAAAAACAAAGAAAAAGGAAAAGGACAAAAUAGAAGAAUGCAGUACACAUGGCUCGUCACUACAGUCCCAAAAGCAUGUUAAUGAAAAACAUUGUCCUAAAUAAUGUUACAUGAAAA
Molecule: long non-coding RNA, 1723 nt
Organism: Triticum aestivum (bread wheat)
Lineage: Eukaryota; Viridiplantae; Streptophyta; Magnoliopsida; Poales; Poaceae
Exons: 4
Source: RefSeq, a predicted model, not a curated record